GGCGGACGUUGCGACGGCGCGCGGGGAGCUGCUGCGGGGUCGGAGGUUGCGACGGCACGGAGCAGAGUGCAACGCGCGGAGCGCGGCGGCGGCGAGCGCGAGCAGGCUCAUCGCGAGGGAACCAGCAGCGUGGGCCUUCGCGGGAGCUGCAGCAUCCGUGGGACCGGAGGCGCGGCCUGCACCAAGCGGCGUCCUGCGCCGGAGUGGCGGCGGCGUAAGUCGCGAGCCCAUGGAGCGCGAGGAGCGGCGAGCGCGAGUAGGCUCAUCUGCAGCGGGUCGCAGGAGCGACGGGUCUUGCGGGCUGCGGCUGCGGCGGACGGUGCACAGCGGCUUUGAUGGCCGGAGAGCAGUAGCUACGUACAGCCGACAGGUGGAUGCUACUGCGGCGCGCGACGCACAGCCGCGGGGAGCACGGCGCAGCCCAGACACGGACGGGAAGCAACGCGCAGGCAGCAGCAGGAGAAGCUAAAAAGUCGCUUGCAAGGAGAUGCUCUGGAAGAAGUGUAAAUUACUGAGCUAGCAAAAGAAGAAGGCUCAACCCAACCACAAAAUGUAUCAGACAUGUGGAUUACUGAAAAAGGACCACUUGGCCCUUAUGGCAAUCACACAGCCCUACACAUCUAGGAUGUAUAGUGGAGUAGCACAAAUAAGUGUGGGAUUUAUUGGGUCUACAUAUUACUAAAUAAAAUUGAAUCUCUAGAUUACUGAAUACAACAUAUAUAUUGGUGAGGUA
Molecule: long non-coding RNA, 733 nt
Organism: Panicum virgatum (switchgrass)
Lineage: Eukaryota; Viridiplantae; Streptophyta; Magnoliopsida; Poales; Poaceae
Exons: 2
Source: RefSeq, a predicted model, not a curated record